This is a long non-coding RNA of Numida meleagris (helmeted guineafowl), 341 nucleotides long. RefSeq lists it as uncharacterized. The record is from RefSeq and is a predicted model, not a curated record. The transcript is spliced from 4 exons. NCBI's taxonomy places the organism in Eukaryota, Metazoa, Chordata, Aves, Galliformes, Numididae.
GGGCUCCUGUUCAGCUCUGCAGGAGCUACUUUGGCCCUGUGACAGAUGUUCAGUACAGCGGCUGAGAGCCAUGUUAUGUGAGAUAAAGUUUGUGCUAUUGACAGCCAUGUGAAUUUUAAGAGGAGACUGCUUUCUGGAUGUUAUUUGAACUAGCAGCUGUCCAAAACUCUCAGCUUACCUCUUAUCAAGAAAGAGCAAGUCAGGGGAAAGCAUGGAUAUGCGGCACUAGAACAUCCUGAAGGCUUAGAAAUUGAAGGUAAUUCAAGGGGAAAAAAGAGCAUCCAAGUGUUCAUUUCCACAUGUGCACCUCAAGAACUGGAAAAAAGACUCUCAGAUUGAAC